Molecule: ribosomal RNA, 25 nt
Filed under: Fusarium oxysporum
Lineage: Eukaryota; Fungi; Ascomycota; Sordariomycetes; Hypocreales; Nectriaceae
Description: partial 18S ribosomal RNA
Source: RNAcentral
GACCUGCGGAGGGAUCAUUACCGAG